GGUUGAUCCUGCCAGUAGUCAUAUGCUUGUCUCAAAGAUUAAGCCAUGCAUGUGUAAGUAUAAGCAACUAUACUGCGAAACUGCGAAUGGCUCAUUAAAUCAGUUAUCGUUCAUUUGAUAGUACCUUACUACAUGGAUACCUGUAGUAAUUCCAGAGCUAACACACGCACAAAAACCCCGACUUCUGGAAGGGGUGCAUUUGUUAGAUACAAAACCAAUACCCUUCGGGGUCUUGCGAUGAUUCAUAACAACUUUGCGAAUCGCAGAGGCCUUGAGCCGGCGAUAAAUCAUUCAAAUUUCUGCCCUAUCAACUUUCGAUGGUACGAUAGAGGCGUACCAUUGUUUUGACGGGUAACGGAGAAUUAGGGUUCGAUUCCGGAGAGGGAGCCUGAGAAAUGGCUACCACAUCCAAGGACGGCAGCAGGCGCGCAAAUUACCCAAUCCCGAUACGGGGAGGUAGUGACAAUAAAUAACAAUACCGGGCCUUCAAGGUCUGGUAAUUGGAAUGAGUACAAUCCAAAACCCUUAACGAGGAACAAUUGGAGGGCAAGUCUGGUGCCAGCAGCCGCGGUAAUUCCAGCUCCAAUAGCGUAUAUUAAAGUUGCUGCAGUUAAAAAGCUCGUAGUCGGAUUUCAGGUUCCACUGGCCGGUCUGCCGAAAGGUAUGCACUGGUCGGCGGGACCUUCCUUCUGAAGAUUGCAUCUGUUCUUAACUGGAUGGGUGUAGGAUUCAGAUCGUUUACUUUGAAAAAAUUAGAGUGUUUAAAGCAGGCCACUGCCGUGAAUACUUCAGCAUGGAAUAAUAGAAUAGGACUUUGGCUCUAUUUUGUUGGUUUCUAGGACCAGAGUAAUGAUUAAUAGGGACAGUUGGGGGCAUCAGUAUUUAAUUGCUAGAGGUGAAAUUCUCAGAUUUAUGAAAGACUAACUUCUGCGAAAGCAUUUGCCAAGGAUGUUUUCAUUGAUCAAGAACGAAAGUUAGGGGAUCGAAGAUGAUUAGAUACCGUCGUAGUCUUAACCAUAAACUAUGCCGACUAGGACUAAGUGGAUGUUAUUAACGACUCCAUUUGUGCCUUAUGAGAAAUCAAAGUCUUUGGGUUCCGGGGGGAGUAUGGUCGCAAGGCUGAAACUUAAAGGAAUUGACGGAAGGGCACCACAAGGCGUGGAGCCUGCGGCUUAAUUUGACUCAACACGGGGAAACUUACCAGGUCCAGACACAGAUUUGAUUGACAGAUUGAGAGCUCUUUCUUGAUUCUGUGGGUGGUGGUGCAUGGCCGUUCUUAGUUGGUGGAGUGAUUUGUCUGGUUAAUUCCGUUAACGAACGAGACCUCAGCCUACUAAAUAGUUGGGCGAAUCCUUGGAUUCGUG
This 1364-nucleotide ribosomal RNA is filed under the name metagenome. RNAcentral describes it as "SSU rRNA". It matches the Rfam family "Eukaryotic small subunit ribosomal RNA", at positions 6 to 1381 of the family's 1831-position model. The record is from RNAcentral.